RNAcentral lists this ribosomal RNA (253 nucleotides) under uncultured bacterium. RNAcentral describes it as "partial 16S ribosomal RNA". It matches the Rfam family "Bacterial small subunit ribosomal RNA", at positions 524 to 776 of the family's 1533-position model. The record is from RNAcentral.
UACGGGGGGGGCAAGCGUUGUUCGGAAUUACUGGGCGUAAAGGGCUCGUAGGCGGCCAACUAAGUCAGACGUGAAAUCCCUCGGCUUAACCGGGGAACUGCGUCUGAUACUGGAUGGCUUGAGAUUGGGAGAGGGAUGCGGAAUUCCAGGUGUAGCGGUGAAAUGCGUAGAGAUCGGGAGGAAUACCAGUGGCGAAAGCGGCACCCUGGCGUCGUACUGACGCACAUGUGCGAAAGCGUGGGGAGCGAACGGG